This 208-nucleotide ribosomal RNA is filed under the name uncultured bacterium. Its description in RNAcentral is "partial 16S ribosomal RNA". It matches the Rfam family "Bacterial small subunit ribosomal RNA", at positions 568 to 775 of the family's 1533-position model. The record is from RNAcentral.
CGCGUAGGCGGCUUUAUAAGUCUGGAGUGAAAGUCCUCUUUUCAAGGGAGGAAUUGCUUUGGAAACUAUAGAGCUUGAGUGCAGGAGAGGUUAUCGGAAUUCCCGGUGUAGCGGUGAAAUGCGUAGAUAUCGGGAGGAACAUCGGUGGCGAAGGCGGGUAACUGGACGGUAACUGACGUUGAGGCUCGAAAGCGUGGGGAGCAAACAA